RNAcentral lists this long non-coding RNA (1153 nucleotides) under Rattus norvegicus (Norway rat). RNAcentral describes it as "long non-coding RNA NONRATT010236". The record is from RNAcentral. Lineage: Eukaryota; Metazoa; Chordata; Mammalia; Rodentia; Muridae.
AACCCAGAGAACCCUGGGAACUUGGUGGGAUCCUGAGCUGAGUGCUUUGGGGAUUUCAACCUUUGAUGUGCCUUUUCUUUUCAAGUCACAAAUUGAUUUUGAAUGUAUCGCUUUUAUGAUCUUUCUCUUCUAGUCUUAGCUAGGGGCAAAAUAAGCCUAGGACUUUUAAAUACCAGCCUAACCAAGUACAAAAGCCACGGGUUUUUAUUAGAGCUGCCCGGUCCUGAGUUUAAAUAUUUUAUUUAAUUUGAGUCUUGUUUUUCCCCCUGCAUAUAGUGAAAAAAAAAAUCAGUAAAGACAGACAUCCCUCUCGCCUGUAAAACCUAAUGAAAUACCUAAUGAAAAGAGUAGUUGCGGGAGUUGGGGAUUUAGCUCAGUGGUAGAGUGCUUGCCUAGCAAGCGCAAGGCCCUGGGUUCGGUCCUCAGCUCCGGAAAAAAAAAUAAAUAAAAAAAAGAAUUAAAAAAAAAAAAAAAGAGUAGUUGCGAGUAUUACCCACAUUUCUCUUCCUUUUGGAUGAAACCAAUAUAAUGGAGGAUUGCGGCCUCUGGUGGGCGAUGUUGGAGUACUUGGGGAUUCUAGAAAUGGCUGCUGGAGCUAGUCUCAGAAGGUGCAGCCUGGUGGGAGUGUGUGUGUGACUGUCUGAGCCUAAUGCUUGCUGCCUCCCCUCCCCUCCCCCGCCCCGCCCCCUGCAGUCCUGUCCAAGAACAGCAAGCCUAUCCACACCACCAUCCUAAACCCACAUGUCCAUGUCAUCGGCGAGGACGCAGCUUGCAUCGCCUACAUCCGGCUCACCCAGUACAUCGAUGGGCAGGGUCGGCCUCGCACCAGUCAGUCAGAGGAGACCCGGGUGUGGCACCGCCGGGAUGGCAAGUGGCUCAAUGUCCACUAUCACUGCUCAGGAGCCCCUGCUGCACCGCUGCAGUGAGCUCAGGCACAGGGGCAUUAGGAGAUUCCAGCUGGAGGCUGAACCUUCGAAGUCAGUGACUCUGGAGGGCCUGAGUGACAGCCGCGGUCCUGUCCAUUUGAGGUUUAAAACAAUUACAUUACAAAGCGGCAGCAGCCAAUGCACGCCCCUGCAUGCAGCCCUCCCGCCCGCCCUUCGUGUCUGUCUCUGCUGUACUGAGGUGUUUUUUACAUUUAAGAAAAAAAAAA